AUGAAGUCGUGUUGUGCAUAGUGUUGUUGCUGCGUGAUUUGACGGAGUAACGAAGCGAGGACGAUUCUGUGCUACUAGAGAAAAGUGAACUUCGUGAAUUUAAGGACGAUUUCGUGCUACUGGAGAAGAGUGAAGAUAAACAAACAAAAGAUUUCGUGCUACUGAAGAAGAGUGAAGAUAAGAAAGAUUUAGUGCUAUUGGAGAAGAGUGUAGAUGAAGAUUUCGAACUAUUCAAGGAGUGUAGAUUAAGAUUUAGUACUAUUCAAGGAGUGAAGAUAAUUAAUAUUUCGUACUAUUCAAGGAGGUUCGUGAAAUCCAAAACAGGAAACCAAGAUUGAAACCAAGAUUGAAACCAAGAUUGAAACCAAGAUUGGUAUAUCUCAAUCUUCACAAAAACGGACCUUCCCUACCAAGGCACCUCGGGCGUCUUGAUGUUUGAUACGGUUUAAAUCAACUCGCUUCCGGCUACCCUUGGUCCCUUGGUGUUCUAGGCAACUUUUGACUUAAAAGCCUCUGACCAGCAAAUUUAAGUGGUGGCCUGUGGAUAGUUUGUAUAGGAGAAAUUUGGAUUUAUUGUGGAUGGUUUUUGUAGGAGAAAUUUGGAUCUCUUGUGGAUGGUUUGUGUAGGAGAAAUUUGGAUCUCUUGUGAUGGUUUGUGUAGGAGAAAUUUGGAUCUCUUGUGAAUGGUUUGUGUAGGAGAAAUUUGGAUCUCUUGUGAAUGGCUUGUGUAGGAG
This is a long non-coding RNA of Macrobrachium nipponense, 734 nucleotides long. RefSeq lists it as uncharacterized. The transcript has 3 exons. Lineage: Eukaryota; Metazoa; Arthropoda; Malacostraca; Decapoda; Palaemonidae. The record is from RefSeq and is a predicted model, not a curated record.